UAGGGAAUUUUCGGCAAUGGGCGAAAGCCUGACCGAGCAACGCCGCGUGAGUGAUGAAGGUUUUCGGAUUGUAAAGCUCUGUUGUAAGGGAAGAACGUCCGUGUGAAAAACAUGGAGUGACGGUACCUUACCAGAAAGCCACGGCUAACUACGUGCCAGCAGCCGCGGUAAUACGUAGGUGGCGAGCGUUAUCCGGAAUUAUUGGGCGUAAAGGGUGCGUAGGCGGCCUUUUAAGUUCAUGGUGAAAGCGUGGGGCUUAACCCCAUAUAGCCAUGGAUACUGGAAGGCUAGAGUACUGGAGAGGAAAGUGGAAUUCCAUGUGUAGCGGUAAAAUGCGUAGAUAUAUGGAGGAACACCAGUGGCGAAGGCGACUUUCUAGCCAGAAACUGACGCUGAUGCA
This 400-nucleotide ribosomal RNA is filed under the name uncultured bacterium. Its description in RNAcentral is "bacterial SSU rRNA". It matches the Rfam family "Bacterial small subunit ribosomal RNA", at positions 355 to 753 of the family's 1533-position model. The record is from RNAcentral.